Non-coding RNA from Dipodomys ordii (Ord's kangaroo rat), 65 nucleotides. The record is from Rfam. NCBI's taxonomy places the organism in Eukaryota, Metazoa, Chordata, Mammalia, Rodentia, Heteromyidae.
GGUGGCUCAGUGGUAGAGUGCUUGCCUUGUAUGCAAGAGGCCCUGGGUUCAAUUCCUCAGCACCA